GACGAACGCUGGCGGCGUGCCUAAUACAUGCAAGUAGAACGCUGAAGGAGGAGCUUGCUUCUCUGGAUGAGUUGCGAACGGGUGAGUAACGCGUAGGUAACCUGCCUUGUAGCGGGGGAUAACUAUUGGAAACGAUAGCUAAUACCGCAUAAGAGUAGAUGUUGCAUGACAUUUGCUUAAAAGGUGCAAUUGCAUCACUACCAGAUGGACCUGCGUUGUAUUAGCUAGUUGGUGGGGUAACGGCUCACCAAGGCGACGAUACAUAGCCGACCUGAGAGGGUGAUCGGCCACACUGGGACUGAGACACGGCCCAGACUCCUACGGGAGGCAGCAGUAGGGAAUCUUCGGCAAUGGACGGAAGUCUGACCGAGCAACGCCGCGUGAGUGAAGAAGGUUUUCGGAUCGUAAAGCUCUGUUGUAAGAGAAGAAAGAGUGUGAGAGUGGAAAGUUCACACUGUGACGGUAUCUUACCAGAAAGGGGCGGCUAACUACGUG
Molecule: ribosomal RNA, 495 nt
Filed under: uncultured bacterium
Lineage: Bacteria
Description: partial 16S ribosomal RNA
Rfam family: Bacterial small subunit ribosomal RNA
Source: RNAcentral